GUCGAUGGUUGUCGUCGGCUCGUGUCGUGAGAUGUUGGGUUAAGUCCCGCAACGAGCGCAACCCCUACGUUUAGUUGCUAACGCGUGAAGGCGAGCACUCUAGACGAACUGCCGUUGACAAAACGGAGGAAGUGGGAUGACGUCAAAUCAUCAUGCCCCUUAUGUUCUGGGCUACACACGUGCUACAAUGGCCGGUACAGACGGACGCAAAGCCGCGAGGCGGAGCAAAUCCGAAAAAGCCGGUCUCAGUUCGGAUUGCAGGCUGCAAUUCGCCUGCAUGAAGUCGGAAUCGCUAGUAAUCGCAGGUCAGCAUACUGCGGUGAAUACGUUCCCGGGCCUU
Molecule: ribosomal RNA, 340 nt
Filed under: uncultured Pelotomaculum sp.
Lineage: Bacteria; Bacillati; Bacillota; Clostridia; Eubacteriales; Desulfotomaculaceae
Description: bacterial SSU rRNA
Rfam family: Bacterial small subunit ribosomal RNA
Source: RNAcentral